Molecule: long non-coding RNA, 381 nt
Organism: Esox lucius (northern pike)
Lineage: Eukaryota; Metazoa; Chordata; Actinopteri; Esociformes; Esocidae
Source: Ensembl
GAAUUUACCAAGAUCAUUUGUGGAGAAAAGGUGUGUUGGGAAGCACUCUGCCAAAGGAUGAUUAUUUACAUUUGACUUGGCCACAUCAACUUCGUCCAAACAGGUCUCCGGCUCUGUGUCAGCUGACAUCUGCAGACGGACAGACGUCCCGCGAACGGUCCGUGGAUGUCUGGGGAACAAGGCGCCGUUCAUUUCUGUGCCAUCUCCAGGGAGGUGGACAGCCUUCAAAUCAAUCUUGAGCUGUCACGGCCCUUUGACGACGCAGGAGGCCACCCUGAACCUCUCCCCAGGGACAGUGACUCUCAGAGGGCCUCAACGUUGUCGCCUGCCUUGGGCCCUGUGGAGCUCGGUGAGAGACUGUUUGUUUUAAGAAGAUUAAUC